UGCGGAAGGGGCAAGCGUUGUUCGGAAUCAUUGGGCGUAAAGGGCGCGUAGGUGGUUCUGUAUGUCUAUCGUGAAAGCGUACGGCUCAACCGUAUUUUGUCGGUAGAAACUGCAGGACUUGAGGCUGGGAGGGGCUGGUGGAAUUCCCUGUGUAGCGGUGAAAUGCGUAGAGAUGGGGGAGAACACUCGUGGCGAAGGCGGCCAGCUAGACCAGUUCUGACACUGAGGCGCGACAGCGUGGGGAGCAAACAGG
This 253-nucleotide ribosomal RNA is filed under the name uncultured bacterium. RNAcentral describes it as "partial 16S ribosomal RNA". It matches the Rfam family "Bacterial small subunit ribosomal RNA", at positions 524 to 776 of the family's 1533-position model. The record is from RNAcentral.